UACAGAGGGUGCGAGCGUUGUCCGGAAUCACUGGGCGUAAAGGGCGCGUAGGCGGUCUCUUAAGCGUGUGGUGAAAGCCCGGAGCUCAACUCCGGGUCGGCCGUCGAGACUCCUCGGCUCGAGCUCACUAGAGGCAGAUGGAAUUCCGGGUGUAGCGGUGGAAUGCGUAGAGAUCCGGAAGAACACCGGUGGCGAAGGCGGUCUGCUGGGGUGAGGCUGACGCUGAUGCGCGACAGCGUGGGGAGCAAACAGG
RNAcentral lists this ribosomal RNA (253 nucleotides) under uncultured bacterium. RNAcentral's name for it is "partial 16S ribosomal RNA". It matches the Rfam family "Bacterial small subunit ribosomal RNA", at positions 524 to 776 of the family's 1533-position model. The record is from RNAcentral.